RNAcentral lists this ribosomal RNA (497 nucleotides) under uncultured bacterium. RNAcentral's name for it is "partial 16S ribosomal RNA". It matches the Rfam family "Bacterial small subunit ribosomal RNA", at positions 28 to 507 of the family's 1533-position model. The record is from RNAcentral.
GAUGAACGCUGGCGGCGUGCCUAAUACAUGCAAGUCGAGCGAACGGACGAGAAGCUUGCUUUUCUGAUGUUAGCGGCGGACGGGUGAGUAACACGUGGAUAACCUACCUAUAAGACUGGGAUAACUUCGGGAAACCGGAGCUAAUACCGGAUAAUAUUUUGAACCGCAUGGUUCAAAAGUGAAAGACGGUCUUGCUGUCACUUAUAGAUGGAUCCGCGCUGCAUUAGCUAGUUGGUAAGGUAACGGCUUACCAAGGCAACGAUGCAUAGCCGACCUGAGAGGGUGAUAGGCCACACUGGAACUGGGACACGGUCCAGACUCCUACGGGAGGCAGCAGUAGGGAAUCUUACGCAAUGGGCGAAAGCCUGACGGAGCAACGCCGCGUGAGUGAUGAAGGUCUUCGGAUCGUAAAAAUCUGUUAUUAGGGAAGAACAUAUGUGUAAGUAACUGUGCACAUCUUGACGGUACCUAAUCAGAAAGCCACGGCUAACUACGUG